AUUGAACGCUGGCGGCAUGCCUUACACAUGCAAGUCGAACGGUAACAGGUCUUCGGACGCUGACGAGUGGCGAACGGGUGAGUAAUGCAUCGGAACGUGCCCAGUCGUGGGGGAUAACUGCUCGAAAGAGCAGCUAAUACCGCAUACGACCUGAGGGUGAAAGCGGGGGACCGUAAGGCCUCGCGCGAUUGGAGCGGCCGAUGUCAGAUUAGCUAGUUGGUGGGGUAAAGGCCUACCGAGGCAACGAUCUGUAGUUGGUCUGAGAGGACGACCAGCCACACUGGGACUGAGACACGGCCCAGACUCCUACGGGAGGCAGCAGUGGGGAAUUUUGGACAAUGGGCGCAAGCCUGAUCCAGCAAUGCCGCGUGCAGGAAGAAGGCCUUCGGGUUGUAAACUGCUUUUGUCAGGGAAGAGAUAUUCUGGGCUAAUACCCCGGGAGGAUGACGGUACCUGAAGAAUAAGCACCGGCUAACUACGUG
RNAcentral lists this ribosomal RNA (482 nucleotides) under uncultured bacterium. Its description in RNAcentral is "partial 16S ribosomal RNA". It matches the Rfam family "Bacterial small subunit ribosomal RNA", at positions 30 to 507 of the family's 1533-position model. The record is from RNAcentral.